UACGUAGGGACCGAGCGUUGUCCGGAUUCAUUGGGCGUAAAGAGCUCGUAGGCGGCCACUCAAGUCGAAUGUGAAACCUCGAGGCUCAACCUCGAGCCUGCAUUCGAUACUGGGCGGCUAGAGUCUGGUAGGGGGAUCUGGAAUUCCUGGUGUAGCGGUGGAAUGCGCAGAUAUCAGGAGGAACACCGAUGGCGAAGGCAGGUCUCUGGGCCACUACUGACGCUGAGAAGCGAAAGCGUGGGGAGCGAACAGG
RNAcentral lists this ribosomal RNA (253 nucleotides) under uncultured bacterium. RNAcentral describes it as "partial 16S ribosomal RNA". It matches the Rfam family "Bacterial small subunit ribosomal RNA", at positions 524 to 776 of the family's 1533-position model. The record is from RNAcentral.